AUUGAACGCUGGCGGCAUGCCUUACACAUGCAAGUCGAACGGCAGCACGGGAGCAAUCCUGGUGGCGAGUGGCGAACGGGUGAGUAAUAUAUCGGAACGUGCCCAGUCGUGGGGGAUAACGCAGCGAAAGCUGUGCUAAUACCGCAUACGAUCUAAGGAUGAAAGCGGGGGAUCGCAAGACCUCGCGCGAUUGGAGCGGCCGAUAUCAGAUUAGCUAGUUGGUGGGGUAAAGGCCCACCAAGGCGACGAUCUGUAGCUGGUCUGAGAGGACGACCAGCCACACUGGAACUGAGACACGGUCCAGACUCCUACGGGAGGCAGCAGUGGGGAAUUUUGGACAAUGGGCGCAAGCCUGAUCCAGCAAUGCCGCGUGCAGGAUGAAGGCCUUCGGGUUGUAAACUGCUUUUGUACGGAACGAGACAGCCCUUUCUAAUACAGGGGGCUAAUGACGGUACCGUAAGAAUAAGCACCGGCUAACUACGUGCCAGCCGCCGCAGUAA
RNAcentral lists this ribosomal RNA (500 nucleotides) under uncultured bacterium. Its description in RNAcentral is "partial 16S ribosomal RNA". It matches the Rfam family "Bacterial small subunit ribosomal RNA", at positions 30 to 523 of the family's 1533-position model. The record is from RNAcentral.